GAUGAACGCUGGCGGCGUGCCUAAUACAUGCAAGUCGCGCGAAUGGAUUAAGAGCUUGCUCUUAUGAAGUUAGCGGCGGAAGGGUGAGUAACACGUGGGUAACCUGCCCAUAAUACUGGGAUAACUCCGGGCAACCGGGGCUAAUACCGGAUAACAUUUUGAACCGCAUGGCUCGACAUCGAAAGGCGGCUCCGGCUGUCACUUAUGGAUGGACGAGGGUCGCAUAGGCUAGUUGGUGAGGGAACGGCUCACCAAGGCAACGAUGCGUGGCCGACCUGAGAGGGUGAUCGGCCACACUGGGACUGAGACACGGCCCAGACUCCUACGGGAUGCAGCAGUGGGGAGUCUUCCGCAAUGGACGAAAGUCUGACGGAGGUACGCUUCGUGAGUGAUGAAGGCUUUCGGGUCGUAAAGCUCUGUUGUUAGGGAAGAACAAGUGCUAGUUGAAUAAGCUGGCACCUUGACGGUACCUAACCAGUAAGGAACGGCUAACUACGUGCCAGCCGCCGCCGUAA
RNAcentral lists this ribosomal RNA (515 nucleotides) under uncultured bacterium. RNAcentral describes it as "partial 16S ribosomal RNA". It matches the Rfam family "Bacterial small subunit ribosomal RNA", at positions 28 to 523 of the family's 1533-position model. The record is from RNAcentral.